UCCUACGGGAGGCAGCAGUCGGGAACUUUGGGCAAUGGGCGAAAGCCUGACCCAGCAACGCCGCGUGAAGGAUGAAAUCCCUCGGGAUGUAAACUUCGCAAGAGUGGGAAGAAUUAGUAGGGGUUAAUACCCUCUAUGAUGACGGUACCAUUUGUAAGCUCCGGCUAACUCCGUGCCAGCACCCGCGGUAAUA
RNAcentral lists this ribosomal RNA (193 nucleotides) under uncultured bacterium. RNAcentral's name for it is "partial 16S ribosomal RNA". It matches the Rfam family "Bacterial small subunit ribosomal RNA", at positions 337 to 525 of the family's 1533-position model. The record is from RNAcentral.